Molecule: ribosomal RNA, 373 nt
Filed under: uncultured bacterium
Lineage: Bacteria
Description: bacterial SSU rRNA
Rfam family: Bacterial small subunit ribosomal RNA
Source: RNAcentral
GACGAACGCUGGCGGCGUGCUUAACACAUGCAAGUCGAGCGGUAAGGCCCUUUCGGGGGUACACGAGCGGCGAACGGGUGAGUAACACGUGGGCGACCUGCCCUCAGCUCUGGGAUAAGCCUGGGAAACCGGGUCUAAUACUGGAUAUGACUCCAUGACGCAUGUUGUGGGGUGGAAAGCCUUGUGCGGCUGAGGAUGGGCCCGCGGCCUAUCAGCUUGUCGGGGGGUGAUGGCCUACCAAGGCGACGACGGGUAGCCGGCCUGAGAGGGCGACCGGCCACACUGGGACUGAGACACGGCCCAGACUCCUACGGGAGGCAGCAGUGGGGAAUCUUGCGCAAUGGGCGAAAGCCUGACGCAGCGACGCCGCGUG